RNAcentral lists this ribosomal RNA (403 nucleotides) under Fusobacteriota bacterium. RNAcentral's name for it is "Fusobacteria bacterium partial 16S ribosomal RNA". It matches the Rfam family "Bacterial small subunit ribosomal RNA", at positions 355 to 776 of the family's 1533-position model. Lineage: Bacteria; Fusobacteriati; Fusobacteriota. The record is from RNAcentral.
UGGGGAAUCUUGCACAAUGGGGGAAACCCUGAUGCAGCGACGCCGCGUGAGCGAUGAAGGUUUUCGAAUCGUAAAGCUCUGUCCUAUGGGAAGAUAAUGACGGUACCAUGGGAGGAAGCCCCGGCUAACUACGUGCCAGCAGCCGCGGUAAUACGUAGGGGGCGAGCGUUGUCCGGAAUUACUGGGCGUAAAGGGUUCGCAGGCGGGAUGGCAAGUCCGAUGUAAAAGGCGAAGGCUCAACCUUCGUAAGCAUCGGAAACUGUCAAGCUUGAGUGAAGGAGAGGCAAGUGGAAUUCCUAGUGUAGCGGUGGAAUGCGUAGAUAUUAGGAGGAAUACCGGUGGCGAAGGCGACUUGCUGGACUUCAACAGACGCUGAGGAACGAAAGGGUGGGUAGCAAACAGG